UUAAGUUAUUAAGGGCGCACGGUGGAUGCCUUGGCACUAGAAGCCGAUGAAGGACGUUACUAACGACGAUAUGCUUUGGGGAGCUGUAAGUAAGCUUUGAUCCAGAGAUUUCCGAAUGGGGAAACCCAGCAUGAGUUAUGUCAUGUUAUCGAUAUGUGAAUACAUAGCAUAUCAGAAGGCACACCCGGAGAACUGAAACAUCUUAGUACCCGGAGGAAGAGAAAGAAAAUUCGAUUCCCUUAGUAGCGGCGAGCGAAACGGGAAGAGCCCAAACCAACAAGCUUGCUUGUUGGGGUUGUAGGACACUCUAUACGGAGUUACAAAGGACGACAUUAGACGAAUCAUCUGGAAAGAUGAAUCAAAGAAGGUAAUAAUCCUGUAGUCGAAAAUGUUGUCUCUCUUGAGUGGAUCCUGAGUACGACGGAGCACGUGAAAUUCCGUUGGAAUCUGGGAGGACCAUCUCCUAAGGCUAAAUACUCUCUAGUGACCGAUAGUGAACCAGUACCGUGAGGGAAAGGUGAAAAGCACCCCGGAAGGGGAGUGAAAUAGAACCUGAAACCGUGUGCUUACAAGUAGUCAGAGCCCGUUAAUGGGUGAUGGCGUGCCUUUUGUAGAAUGAACCGGCGAGUUACGAUUUGAUGCAAGGUUAAGCAGUAAAUGUGGAGCCGUAGCGAAAGCGAGUCUGAAUAGGGCGUUUAGUAUUUGGUCGUAGACCCGAAACCAGGUGAUCUACCCUUGGUCAGGUUGAAGUUCAGGUAACACUGAAUGGAGGACCGAACCGACUUACGUUGAAAAGUGAGCGGAUGAACUGAGGGUAGCGGAGAAAUUCCAAUCGAACCUGGAGAUAGCUGGUUCUCUCCGAAAUAGCUUUAGGGCUAGCCUCAAGUGAUGAUUAUUGGAGGUAGAGCACUGUUUGGACGAGGGGCCCCUCUCGGGUUACCGAAUUCAGACAAACUCCGAAUGCCAAUUAAUUUAACUUGGGAGUCAGAACAUGGGUGAUAAGGUCCGUGUUCGAAAGGGAAACAGCCCAGACCACCAGCUAAGGUCCCAAAAUAUAUGUUAAGUGGAAAAGGAUGUGGCGUUGCCCAGACAACUAGGAUGUUGGCUUAGAAGCAGCCAUCAUUUAAAGAGUGCGUAAUAGCUCACUAGUCGAGUGACACUGCGCCGAAAAUGUACCGGGGCUAAACAUAUUACCGAAGCUGUGGAUUGUCCUUUGGACAAUGGUAGGAGAGCGUUCUAAGGGCGUUGAAGCAUGAUCGUAAGGACAUGUGGAGCGCUUAGAAGUGAGAAUGCCGGUGUGAGUAGCGAAAGACGGGUGAGAAUCCCGUCCACCGAUUGACUAAGGUUUCCAGAGGAAGGCUCGUCCGCUCUGGGUUAGUCGGGUCCUAAGCUGAGGCCGACAGGCGUAGGCGAUGGAUAACAGGUUGAUAUUCCUGUACCACCUAUAAUCGUUUUAAUCGAUGGGGGGACGCAGUAGGAUAGGCGAAGCGUGCGAUUGGAUUGCACGUCUAAGCAGUAAGGCUGAGUAUUAGGGAAAUCCGGUACUCAUUAAGGCUGAGCUGUGAUGGGGAGAAGACAUUGUGUCUUCGAGUCGUUGAUUUCACACUGCCGAGAAAAGCCUCUAGAUAGAAAAUAGGUGCCCGUACCGCAAACCGACACAGGUAGUCAAGAUGAGAAUUCUAAGGUGAGCGAGCGAACUCUCGUUAAGGAACUCGGCAAAAUGACCCCGUAACUUCGGGAGAAGGGGUGCUCUUUAGGGUUAACGCCCAGAAGAGCCGCAGUGAAUAGGCCCAAGCGACUGUUUAUCAAAAACACAGGUCUCUGCUAAACCGUAAGGUGAUGUAUAGGGGCUGACGCCUGCCCGGUGCUGGAAGGUUAAGAGGAGUGGUUAGCUUCUGCGAAGCUACGAAUCGAAGCCCCAGUAAACGGCGGCCGUAACUAUAACGGUCCUAAGGUAGCGAAAUUCCUUGUCGGGUAAGUUCCGACCCGCACGAAAGGCGUAACGAUUUGGGCACUGUCUCAACGAGAGACUCGGUGAAAUCAUAGUACCUGUGAAGAUGCAGGUUACCCGCGACAGGACGGAAAGACCCCGUGGAGCUUUACUGUAGCCUGAUAUUGAAAUUCGGCACAGCUUGUACAGGAUAGGUAGGAGCCUUUGAAACGUGAGCGCUAGCUUACGUGGAGGCGCUGGUGGGAUACUACCCUAGCUGUGUUGGCUUUCUAACCCGCACCACUUAUCGUGGUGGGAGACAGUGUCAGGCGGGCAGUUUGACUGGGGCGGUCGCCUCCUAAAAGGUAACGGAGGCGCUCAAAGGUUCCCUCAGA
RNAcentral lists this ribosomal RNA (2325 nucleotides) under Staphylococcus aureus VET0141R. Its description in RNAcentral is "bacterial LSU rRNA". It matches the Rfam family "Bacterial large subunit ribosomal RNA", at positions 3 to 2326 of the family's 2925-position model. Lineage: Bacteria; Bacillati; Bacillota; Bacilli; Caryophanales; Staphylococcaceae. The record is from RNAcentral.